Molecule: ribosomal RNA, 496 nt
Filed under: uncultured bacterium
Lineage: Bacteria
Description: partial 16S ribosomal RNA
Rfam family: Bacterial small subunit ribosomal RNA
Source: RNAcentral
GACGAACGCUGGCGGCGUGCUAAAAACAGCAAAGUGAGGGGUUAAGGGUGGUAAUUGGUACCACUGGAAGGACCGGGAACGGGGGGGUUACGGGGGGGGAAUCUGCCUUUGAGCGGGGGGCAACCUUUGGAAAAGAAAGCUAAUACCGCAUUAAAAAUUUAAAAAACAGGUUUAAGUUUGAAAGAUGCAAUUGCAUCCAUCAAAGAAGAAUCCGCGUUGUAUUGGCUAGUUGGUGAGGUAAAGGCUCACCAAGGCGAUGAUACAUAGCCGACCUGAGAGGGUGAUCGGCCACAUUGGGACUGAGACACGGCCCAAACUCCUACGGGAGGCAGCAGUAGGGAAUCUUCGGCAAUGGACGAAAGUCUGACCGAGCAACGCCGCGUGAGUGAAGAAGGUUUUCGGAUCGUAAAACUCUGUUGGUAGAGAAGAACGUUGGUGAGAGUGGAAAGCUCAUCAAGUGACGGUAACUACCCAGAAAGGGACGGCUAACUACGUG